Molecule: long non-coding RNA, 6361 nt
Filed under: Populus tremula
Lineage: Eukaryota; Viridiplantae; Streptophyta; Magnoliopsida; Malpighiales; Salicaceae
Description: long non-coding RNA (PTRE_LNC001574)
Source: RNAcentral
AUAAAAUCAAACCAUUUUAUUGAUAUAUUAUAAUUUAGAGCUAGUGCUCCAAUUUUAUUUUAUUUUUUCCUUUUUAGUCACAGCCACCGGGGGCAAACCCAAUCCUUUCCUUCGCACCAUCAAAGACUAUAGUGUAAGUCUUUUGCUGAAAAUUCCCAAAGAUAGAAACUUCGUCAUCCAAUUCUGCAAAUGCCAAGCAGUACACCUUGCUCCCUGGUGGAUGUUGCACCAUGAUCCCCGAAACAUCGAUAUCCAUCUCUACGCCACCUUCGAAGAACACACUAAUCGAAGGUAUUGCAACCGUGCUAUAAUUACUGAAGUCAUAGCAUGUGUCUAGAAAGAUAUCUUGGGCCGACAAAGGAUAACCUUUCAACAUUUCUCGGAACACCGACCUCAGUGUCGAGUAUGCCUUCGGAGGCAGCCGAGUGAGCACUGUACCGGAGUCGAUGGCGCUAGCAAUCUUAAAAGCCGAUGCAUCUAUUAAUAGUUUACGGCCUCCAACACUAAUUCCAGUCAUUUUGAUGUCGUAGUCCGAGGAUGGCGCUGUUUUAGAUACUGGGGAGAAUCUCACAUCGUUCGACACUUUGCCGCCGAAAGUAAGAUGACCAGUUGAGCCAGGAGUUGACGGUAUACAAUAAGAGAAGAGUUUGUUGUAUAUAUUAGCAGUUUGUGAUGCAAAAGAUAUAGGCUCGCGGUUUAGUCCCAUUAUACCAGAUUCUCCAUCUGAAUCACCAGAUACUUGAUCGCUGCAUCCAAUCAAAACGUUCUUGAAGUCGUACUGUAAAUGGCUGAAGGAUAUUGUUUCGGUGGCCAAAGUUCCUGUGGAGCUGCUGUUGUCUACAUAUGCACUUUUGUAGGUGCACUUCGAAGAGGAGCAUCCUGUAUCCGCAACAUUGAAAAUACAUGUCUUGAAAUUUUAUUUUUUAAAAGGUUUAAUUUAUCUCAUUUUUGUGUCAAUAAUAUUGUUAAUUAGCCAAUCAAAACUUUUAAUGCAUGUCAAAAUAAUAAUAUUUACCUUGCCCGAUUGCUUGGCAUAGCUUUGAGGAACAUGGAAGGCCUUUGAAUGAAGCUGACUUGGUUGGAUCGAACACAGGCACUUUUGGAUAGCAAGCCUUGCAUGGCUUACAUUGAGUCCAAAUGAGACCACUGCCUGUGUCGAAUAUAAGUGGCAUUUCCUUCUUGGGCGUACCGAUUCCAACGUUUACAAUAUAGUCACUUGCAGUGAUUUUGGGUAGACCAUAGAACGGGACACUACUCUUCAUGUGCUCACCACUGCUGGUCAAGUUCACUGAACGCCGGGCCUGAAUAAUUGAGUCCACUCGAAGUUUGUCUCGACGGAGGAUAUCGUUGACGGAUGAUGCUGGAGCAGUUGAUGUUCUGUGUGGAUUGCAUGGACCGAACCUGUGUACUAACUUUAGGGAUGAUGAACCCUUGUUGACAGCUGAAACACAAAGCAAUUACCUUAAGAACACAUCAAGGGCAAUCCUCUCCCUCUACAUUGUGCUUCACAGUCCCAAAUAAAAUGCGAACAAUUUCUUCAAAAAUAGUAGUAAGAAGAAGGUCAUGUUGUUAAUUAAUUUUUGAAUCAAGAACUAUAAUACCUUUGGAAGAUUCCUUGCAGACUUCUGAUGGUGGGAGAGAAUUGAUUUUGAGAGUAUGAAAAUAUUCUCUCGUUCCUUCAUCGGCAGUGUCCUUCAAAGAGUUGCAAGGGGAAAGAAGAAGAAAACCAUAAAUCACAAAAGAAAGUAGUGAUUUAGAAGACAUGGGGGCGCCAAUGGGAGACAAAUAUUCUUCUCUUAAACAAUUAUUAUGCUUCUCUCGAAGUAGGUAGAGCUAUUUAUACAUGCACAACGAGUUAAUUUACAAUAUUCUAAAUGGCACAAUGUACUGUGGCAUAAUGGCACAAUUAUUAGUUACAAUGUACUGUGGCAUAAUGGCACAAUUAUUAUGCACAAUGUACUGUGGCCGGACAAUUAUUAUGCACAAUGUACUGUGGCCACAAAAAAUGUGCUAGAAUUAUAAUAGUAAUUUACAGUAUAUUUUUUUUAUUUUUUAUUUUUUAAAAUUAUUUUUAUUAAUUUUAUUUUUUAAAUAUUGAUCUGAUUAAAAAAAUAUUUAUAAAUUAUUUUUAAAAUAGUGUGAUUACUGCAGUGUUUUUCCACAUAGUUUUUAUAUUUUAUUUUUUAAAAUUAUAUUUGUUGAUUUUUUUUUAAUAUUGAACUGAUUGAGAAUUUAGUUUUGUAAUUUUUUUUCUUUAAAGUAUUAUUGAUUGUUAUAAUGUUUUUCUGUAUAUAUUUUUUUUAUGAUUUUAUUAAAAAUUAUCUUUUUUUAUUUUAUUUUUUAAUAUUUAACUGGUUAAAAAUAAUAACAAAAAAAAGCAUUAUAACUUUCCUUGAAUAUUACUGUGGAUUUUAUACGCGAGUAGCAUAUCCCAAGUGUGCCUGGCACUUGCUGGAAAUAGUGAUGCAACUGACGUGUUCAUUUUCGGAAAUGUUCAGCAAAAAACACUAUGUUCAUAUAAUUUCAUUUCAAAUUAGCUUGCUUAAAGAACAGUUGCACGUGUUGUAAUUUAAUCACUGGGAUUAAAUCGAAAGGGCUGAAAUGAAGGAUUAUAAUUUCAUUUAAAAUGAUAAAUAUGAAAAAUAUUUUUGACUAUGUUCAUAUAAUUUCAUUGAAAGGGCUGAAAUGAAGGACUAUAAUUUCAUCACUGUGAUAGAGUCCGUGUAAGUUAACCGUGAAUUAUAAUAGUAAUAUUUUUUUUAUUCUUUAUUUUUUUUUCUAUCUUGAUCGUCCUACUUUCUUUUUUCUUUUAAUUUCUAAAAAAAAAAAACUAGUACUUUAUAUACAAUCUUCCAUAGACGAAUUUCAUCAAGGUUAGGAGGCCCGCGGCUUGGAUUAAGCCGGCUAUUGAGCUGAUGAAAUGGAAUAGAUAUGGGUCCUCUUUUGGGAAGCCUGAAAGAUCAGGUAUUGGUGGAGUCUCGAGCGAUUCGUUAUAUGAAUUUGUUUUUAUUUUCUCGAACUUCAAAAGCAGUAUAGCAGUUUUAACAUUAUUUGUCUCUAGAGAGAUUAAAGUAGUAUAGCACUAAACUAGUUUUACUCAACCGUGAUAUAUUACUGGUCAAAUCAAUAUUUUUACAAAUUAACAAAAAUUACAGAUUAUAUUUUUACAGUUUUGUUUUUUUUAUUACUAUUAUUAUUGGCUCUAGUGUUCCUUUUCUUUUAAUAAAGACUCCAUUUUCAUCUUAAAAAUAUAAAAACUAAACUUUCCCACAAUAAUAAAAUAUAUAAUAAAAAAAAAUAUAGUUGAAAUCCAUUGAAACUCCCAAGAAAAAUAAAAAUAAAAAUCCAAAACUUAAACAAACAUGUUGUGCCCAGCACUAGUUUGCACAGGUACACAAGCAUAUAAUUAGUGUAAAGGAACACUUAACAUAGUUUUUUUUUUAUAUAUAUAUAUAAAAAAUAGCCACAUUUUUUUAAAGAAAGUAAUAAUUGUAAGAUUUUUUUUUUAUUAUUAUUAUGUUUUCUCACUCCUCUCCUCAUUUUAAUUUGUGAAGAGAAAAAAGAGAAAAAAAUGAUAAAAAAUACCCCAAAGAUACAUUGAAGUUUCGACACCAUUAAUACCAUAAAAUAAAUUUUGAUAAAAUAAAUAUAAUAAUAUUAUGAAUAGUCACUAAUAAUGACUCGAGUAGUUCAUACUUGUCAUCAAAGACAAGUGAAGCACCCAUCACCUUUUGACAGCAAAUGUAACAUGCUUAAAAUAUAGUUAGUGAUUUUUUUUAUAUCAUUAGAUUUGUUUUUAUUAAUAUAUAAAAAUGUUAUUAGAUUUAUUUCAUUAAUAUAUUUUUUAUUCUACCAAUUGUAUUUUUAUUGAAGCUUUGAUGUGUUUUUAAAGUUUUUUUUUUUUCUGUUCAAGUGUUCAAUUUUUUUUAAAAUGUCGUUAUUUGUAAUAACAACAAACUUAAAUUUAGUAUUUAUUAAUCCUAACAUAUACAUGUUAUUUCACAAAUUGCUUUUCAAACUAUGUUAUUUGUUAAUAUUUUUCUUUUUAAAAAGUGCUAAUUAACAAGAUAGGACGGAAUUUUUGGGUAUAUGUGUAGCACAUGGAAUUAAAAGGAAAAUGGUUCCGGGAAACAGAAAAGAAUGCAACGAAUAGAGCACCAGCUAUUCAUCUCUUUCUUUCGAUUUUUCCUUUGGGUGGAAGAAAAACCAGCUCAUAGCUCAUGAUGGGUACAACUAAAAAAGAUCCCACUUUGAGCUAAAUUGUAAAAAGCUUCUUGAGCUUGAUUGAAAAAACAAAUCUUUGAUGUUUCAUCUUAAAUAUCAUGGUCUUCUUAAUAUGUCUCUCUAUUAGAGUUUUAUCGAGAAAUUUAAGAGGAAAAAAACCCUUAAAAAUCAUUUCAAUUCUUUUUCUUUAGCUGUGAAUAUAUUUUCUUAAGUCGGUGGAGGAAAAAAAAGGGAAAUGGUAGGAUUUCUAUGGGGUUUUUUCUUCAAGUUCUCUGAUAAAGGAUCGUAUUCAAAAAAUCAUAUUGUUUAGGAUAAAGAUCAGAGAUGUUUUAGUUCGAGAGGGGAAUAUUUUUUUAAUUUAGCCUUAAUUUCACUUGAAGUUAAAAAAAUUAUGCAAUAUUUCACUUUUUGGCAAAUGAAAUGGAUAAAGGAAGGAAGUUUUGGGGAUAUGUGUAGCUCGUGGAAUUAAAAGGAAAAGAGGAAACAUGACUGGACAGGAUAUUUCUUUAGCAAGCUUUUGGUCAAUUAUAUGUUGCCGUAGUAGGGUUGUUAAUUCCGUUUUGCUUCAUUUAAAACGGUGAAAAUAUUUAAUAUUAAUUAAAAAAAUAGAAUACAAUACAAUAAUUUUUAUCUCAUUUUAUAUCUUGAUUAGUUUUAGAUUUUUCAAAUAAAUUUUAGUUGGAAUGUUCGGUUUCAUUUUAUAUGCUUCGUUUCGGGUUUGAAAAGCCAUUAAAUUAAAUUGAUAUUUUGUUUAAGUUGAAUUACUUUAAGUUAAAAUUCUAUUUAAUUUUAACUAUUUAGAAAUAUUUUAAAAUUUUAAAUUAUAUUUGUUUGAUAUUGUAUUUGUAUUGCAUAAUUUAUAAUUAAUUUAUUUUAAAUUUGAAUUAUAUUUGUUGAUUCCAAAACGACACCGAAAUGGUUCAAAAUCAAAAUAUUUCAUUUUAAUUAAAAAAAAUAUUUAACAUCUAUUAAAACAAAAUUGGUAACCUUGAGCCAUAUAGGCUUGUGAGUGGUGGUCAGGUAGCUUGCAGAUGAGUUGAAUUAAUUGUUAAUUUGACAUGUAAGAUUAAUUGGUUUUUGUGUUUAAGAUUUGUUUUUUAAAAGAUUGAUUUUUUUUUAUUUUAAAUUAAUUUUUUUUUAUGUUUUUACUUAGUUUUGAUAUAAAAAAUAAAUUUAGAAAAAAUAAAAAAAAUUAUUUCAAAUAAAAAAUAUUUUUAAAAAAAUCUUAACUAUAAUACCAAACAAGCUAUUAGUUGAAUUAAAAAAAUAUAUUACAUCUUCAACUCCAUUGAAUACAUUAAUGAAAACAUAGUGAUUGAGUUGAGGAAACAUAAUCAAUCACCCGAAAUAGAAUUGGUGGCAUUGCUAGGAGGUGAGAAGUGUAGCAUCUUCUUCACUUCACUUUUUAUGAUGGAUAAAAAGAGAACACACCCAUGUAGACAUUCUUUGAGAAAAAAAAAAUCAAUCUUGUUUUGAUUAAAAAAAAAUCAGUUAUUUAUAGGUUGACCGAUAAUUGAGUGAUUUAAGUUUUUGAUUAAGUUUUUUUUAUUGAUUCGUACUCCAGACUUGGUUCAACAUCUAUGUUUUCUACUAUUUAAUUUAAUUUAUUUACUUAACAAAUGUACAUAUUUACUAUUUUUGAAUACCAAUUUCUUUUGUUUUAGAGAAUAUUAAUUUUAAUAAAAUUAAAAGGUUUGUCAGUGAAUGUAUUAAGAGAAUAGCAAAAAGAAAAUAUAAAAACAAACCAUUUUAUUGAUAUAUUAUAAUUUAGAGCUAGUGCUCCAAUUUUUUUUUUUUUUCUUUCUUUUUAGUCACAGCCACCGGGGGCAAACCCAAUCCUUUCCUUCGCACCAUCAAAGACUAUAGUGUAAGUCUUUUGCUGAAAAUUCCCAAAGAUAGAAACUUCGUAAUCCAAUUCUGCAAAUGCCAAGCAGUACACCUUGCUCCCUGGUGGAUGUUGCAACAUGAUCCCCGAAACAUCGAUAUCCAUCUCUACGCCACCUUCGAAGAACACACUAAUCGAGGUAUUGCAACCGUGCUAUAAUUACUGAAGUCAUAGCAUGUGUCUAGAAAGAUAUCUUGGGCCGACAAAGGAUAACCUUUCAACAUUUCUCGGAACACCGACCUCAGUGUCGAG